CCUAUUAAAAUCUCAACAUUCUUCAUAGAAAUAGAAAAGGCUGCCAUAAAAUUCAUUUGGAGAAACAAGACCCAAAAUGGCCAAAGCAAUCCUUAGCAAGGAAAGUGAAGCAGGAGGCAUCACAACAUCAGACAUUAAACCUAGAGCCACAGAAACAAAAAAUAGCAUGGUAUUGGCAUCAAAACAGACAUGCAGACCAAUGAUACAGAAUAGAAGAGACAGAGACAAACCCACAUAAAUACAGUUCUCAUACAGAAAAAUAUACACUGAAAAGAAGAUAGCCUCUUCAACAAAUGGUGCUGGGAAAACUGGAAAUCCAUAUGCAGCAGAAUGAAAUUGAACCCCUAUCUCUUACCCUGCACAAAACUCAAAGUGGAUCAAAGACUUAGGCACUAGAACAGAGACCCUGUGCCUAAUAGAUGAAAAAAUAGGCCCAAAUCUUUACGACAUUGGCCUAGAAUCUGAAUUCCUUAACAAGUCUCCUAAAGCACAAGGAGUAAAAUCCAGAAUCAAUAAAUGGAAUGGAUUCAAACUAAAAAGAUUGUUCUCAGCAAAGGAAACAAUCUGGAGAGCCUAUGGAAUGGGAGAAAUUCUUUACCACAUGUACCUCAGAGCAUUGAUCUUCAGGAUAUAUAAAGAACUCAAAAAAUUCAGUACCAAAAAAUCCCCAAAUAACCCAGUCAGUAAAUGAACUAAGGAACUGAACAGACAGUUCAAAGGAAUAAAUCAAUAUAUGAAAAAAUGUUUAACAUCUCUAGCAAUUAGAGAAAUGCAAAUUAAAACUACAGAGAUUCCAUCUCACUGCAGUCAGAAUAGCAAUUACCAAGAAUACAAGCAAUAGUAAGUGUUGGAAAGGAUGUGGGAGAAAAGGCACACUCAGUACAUUGCUGGUGGGACUGCAAAUUGGCACAACCACUUUGAAAUGGAACCACCAUUUGACGCAGCUCUCCCACUCCUCAGUUUAUACCCAAAGGAC
RNAcentral lists this long non-coding RNA (976 nucleotides) under Marmota monax (woodchuck). Lineage: Eukaryota; Metazoa; Chordata; Mammalia; Rodentia; Sciuridae. The record is from RNAcentral.